Arabidopsis thaliana (thale cress) is the source of this 328-nucleotide RNA transcript. RefSeq lists it as uncharacterized. The record is from RefSeq. NCBI's taxonomy places the organism in Eukaryota, Viridiplantae, Streptophyta, Magnoliopsida, Brassicales, Brassicaceae. The transcript has a single exon.
ACAAUCUGACGCAUAUGCAACAGAGUUGAAAGAUGGAAAGAGCAAGGAUACGAUGGCCGAGUGGAAGAGGAAUUAGGCUGAGGCAGAAGACAAAGAGACUGCGUGCGAGAGUGAGAAGCUUUUUCAGGCUUCUCAGGAGCUGGUGCUGCAGAAGGCCUCCGCUGGUCAGAGAAGACGGUCUUGAUUACACAUCUAUACGUCGCUCUAACUCUUUCUACGCCGAUGCAAUUGCAGACUGCAUUGACUUCAUCAACCGCUCCUCCGCUUGACAGCUUCUCAUUCUCUUCCAAUAAUUCUUUCUUCCAUUUUGUAAAAUCCAAUGUUUCUG